UCCCUGGUGAUCGAGUGGCCAAGAUUCUGCACUCCCAAUGUGGGGGGCCUGGGUUCAAUCCUGGUCAGAGAA
RNAcentral lists this transfer RNA (72 nucleotides) under Bos taurus (domestic cattle). It matches the Rfam family "tRNA". From Rfam's summary of the family: Transfer RNA (tRNA) molecules are approximately 80 nucleotides in length. RNAcentral also lists the same sequence under 1 other name. Lineage: Eukaryota; Metazoa; Chordata; Mammalia; Artiodactyla; Bovidae. The record is from Rfam by way of RNAcentral.